UAGAAGGCUGAAUGGUGAUUGGCUAAUGAGCAUUGACAGUGACUGAAAAAUAGAGAUAUACUUUCCCAGUAUGUGUGAUUUUGUCAGACACGUUUGAAUGUUUCCCGCGUACAGUUGGACUUCCUUGGUGAGAAUUGAAAUGUAAACAAAGUCUGCCAGUCACCGAGUGCUUUAAGUGUUAAAUGAAGUAACAUGAGUAAGCCGGCCGCUCCCACAUCGGCUGUCGGCUGGAUGUAGGACAAGCAGGACUUGUAACGUACACAGACUCCUUGUGUUACCAGAUUCAAACUCAAGAUUUGUAUAGAGACAUGAAAGAUGACAUUUUGACACCAGCAAUUAUGACCCAACACAUCCCAUCUAUUCAAAAUUGAAUGUCAAGGUUCUUGGAAAAUUUAAGGAUGAAUUAGGUGGAAAUGUUAUGAAUUCAUUCAUCGGCCUCAGGCCAAAGAUGUAUUCAUUUACUUUUGGAAAAGAAGACUUGCAUGAAGUGGAUGGGGAGAUGGUACCGGCAAUCAGACGAGAGGAAAAACAAAAAGCUAAAGGGGUGACCAGAGCGGUCAUCAAGAAGCAAUUGAGACAUGCUCAAUAUAAAGAGUGUUUAACCACACAUACCCAGCUCCGUCAUGUCAUGAGACUAAUUCAAAGUGAGAAACAUCAGGUUUUACAGUCAGGAAAAACAAAAUUAGCUUGAGCCCAUAUGAUGAUAAGCGUUUUGUGCUGGAAGAUGGUAUUCAUACUCUAGCACAUGGCCACUACAAAAUUGCAGAGAAUUAGCAUGUGAGAAACCAUUUCAUUGCCAUACUGUGUUUGUAAAUAUCUGCAUAUUAACAGUGUAAUGUGUGUGUGCCGAUCCAGUGCAUUAAUAUCAUUGAGAUCAUUUAUUAUCUAAAUAUAUUUGACCCAAAUGUAUUGUAUAUAGUGUGAUCAUGUUCUAAAAUCAAAGAGAGUUGUUAUAAUCUGACCCAAAUAUGUUUUAUGUUUUGUGAUCAUGUCCAAAUAUGAAAAAUGAGCUUUUGUUAUCUAAAUAAUUUGACUUAAAUAUGUUUUAUAUAUAAUAAUCAUGUUCUAAUAUCAAUGAUUUGUCAAUGGCAUUUGUUAUCAACAUUAUGAUCAUAUUCCAUGUGUGAAAAAUAUGCAAUGAAUAAAAUUUAAUGGAUUCUUA
This is a long non-coding RNA of Haliotis rubra (blacklip abalone), 1162 nucleotides long. RefSeq lists it as uncharacterized. The record is from RefSeq and is a predicted model, not a curated record. NCBI's taxonomy places the organism in Eukaryota, Metazoa, Mollusca, Gastropoda, Lepetellida, Haliotidae. The transcript has 2 exons.